AAUGAAGGUAAAAUGAGGUAAAAUAUUUAAAGAAAUAAAUUUUAAUAUUUCAUAUAAAACUAAGUGAAUCUUCUUUGUAAUUGUAGAAAAUAAUUAAUUCUUGUAUAAAGCUUUUUGUAUAAAAAGAUAUAGUUAAAAAGUCUAUAAUGUUAUGUAACUUUUGAUAUAAGUAUUAGAUGAGAAAUUCUUCUUAUUUGACACUUAGCGACAUAAAUAAGGUUUGACAGCUUAAACUCUUAGAAGUAUUUCCUUUAGCAAAUAUAUUUAUUCUUCCCUAUUGUUCACCUAGAAUUCUUUCUAACUAAAUAAUCGGAUUUCCCUAAUGGUCGUAAAAACAAAGUAUUAAGUAAUUAAAAAUAGUAACCCCAAACAAUGCACAAAUGUGAAUAAGAUAAAAGAGAUCUAACCAAUAGAAACUGUCCUUAUAAAAAUAAAUAUUCUAAAAGUCAUUUUGAUUGGUGAAUAAAACAAGUCCAACCAGCACGUGUUCUAGGAGUUUAAAAUAGGAAACCCUAAGGAAUCAAACAUUAAUUUACUCGUAUGGUUGGACUCGAAAUAAACAUAUAUUGACAUCUUUGUUUUAUUCACCAG
Molecule: long non-coding RNA, 591 nt
Filed under: Mytilus galloprovincialis (Mediterranean mussel)
Lineage: Eukaryota; Metazoa; Mollusca; Bivalvia; Mytilida; Mytilidae
Source: RNAcentral